AACGAACGCUGGCGGCAUGCCUAACACAUGCAAGUCGAACGAAGCCUUCGGGCUUAGUGGCGCACGGGUGCGUAACACGUGGGAAUCUGCCCUUCGGUUCGGAAUAACAGUUAGAAAUGACUGCUAAUACCGGAUGAUGACGAAAGUCCAAAGAUUUAUCGCCGAAGGAUGAGCCCGCGUAGGAUUAGGUAGUUGGUAGGGUAAUGGCCUACCAAGCCGACGAUCCUUAGCUGGUCUGAGAGGAUGAUCAGCCACACUGGGACUGAGACACGGCCCAGACUCCUACGGGAGGCAGCAGUGGGGAAUAUUGGACAAUGGGCGAAAGCCUGAUCCAGCAAUGCCGCGUGAGUGAUGAAGGCCUUAGGGUUGUAAAGCUCUUUUACCAGGGAUGAUAAUGACAGUACCUGGAGAAUAAGCUCCGGCUAACUCCGUGCCAGCAGCCGCGGUAAU
This 450-nucleotide ribosomal RNA is filed under the name uncultured bacterium. Its description in RNAcentral is "bacterial SSU rRNA". It matches the Rfam family "Bacterial small subunit ribosomal RNA", at positions 29 to 524 of the family's 1533-position model. The record is from RNAcentral.